UCGGCAGGGCUGUGCUGCGCGCACAUGCACGGUAGCACGGAACGUGGCUCGGUCGCAGCUCACCUCGCCGGGGCUGAGGACGGGCUGGCCGGAGAGCGGCUAGGCGCGACGGGGCUCGCGUCGACCAAGGGAGUGGAGAGCGGUGCACGCCAUGGACGGCAUUUGGGGAGGGAAAGGGCAGCACGACAUGGAAGAAAAGGGAGAAGAGACUUGCCGAGCGGGAGAAGCGGUUUGGGAAGAGGAAAAUCGACUUGUUUGCCGCUUCUUGCCGGCCGUAGGAACAGCCGCGUCGGGGCGAAGCGCUUGCGGGAGAAGCCUCCCAGAAGUUGUGUUUGGUUCAGCUUCCGGCUUCUGGCGGCCAGAAUCUCCCCAGAAGCUGAACCAAACAGGGGCGUUGUGUCGCGUUUCCCUGCGGGUGGCUGGGGCGGCUGUCCCGCGAGCUGCACUGGACCUUCGUGCUCGCGGUCGCCGCCGUCUACGGUCUACGGCGCCUGUCAAGGCGUCGGCAACGCCAUCGGCGGAGUCGCCGCGGGGUACUACUGGAAGGACGUGCAGCGCGUGCAGCCUUCGGUGGCCCAGUUCUACCAAGGCGUCACGGACGCGCCGUGGAUCGUCAAACCCAUCUGGGGCCUGCUCACCGACGUCGUCCCCGUGGCCGGGUUCCGCCGCCGCCCAUACUUCGUUCUCGCAGGCGUGAUUGGCGUGUCAUCUAUGCUGAUGUUUUCCCUAAACCACGAGCUGGGGAUUAUGCCGGCGUUGCUGAUGCUGACGGCGCAGAGUGCGGGCGCCGCUGUAGGCGACGUGACAGUGGACGCUCUGGUUGCUCAGAACAGCAUCACGCACCCGCCCCUUGCUGCUGAUAUGCAAAGCUUGUGUGGGUUUAGCUCCUCUAUUGGAGCGCUGCUUGGAUUCUCCCUAAGUGGCUUGCUUGUGCACUCAAUGGGCUCCCAGGGGGCUCUUGGUCUGUUGAGUAUCCCCUCUGCACUGGUGUUAUUAGCUGGCAUUCUGCUGAAGGAGAACCGUGGUACAGAAUUUGAUUACAUGCAGGUUCACAAGAAGUUCUAUAAAGCAAUACAAUCCAUGGGAAGAACACUGAAGUGCCCUCAGGUCUGGAGACCAUGUGCAUAUAUUUUUGUUUCUCUCAAUUUAAGCCUGGAUAUUCAAGGAGGAAUGUUCUAUUGGUACACGGACCCUGUUGUUGGACCAGGAUUUUCUGAGGGAUAUAUUGGUCUCAUCUAUUCAAUUGGUUCAGUUGGUUCACUAAUUGGAGUUUUACUAUACCAAAGCACCCUAAAGGACUAUACUUUUCGGAGCAUGCUAUUAUGGGGUCAAGUGCUCUCAAGUCUGGCAGGAAUGCUUGAUCUGGUGUUAGUGACCCGGCUAAACCUGAAAAUUGGCAUGCCGGAUUACUUCUUUGCGGUGGCUGAUAACACAGUUUCCCAAAUGGUUGGUAGGCUCCAAUGGCUACCACUACUUGUGCUUUGCUCUAAGCUUUGUCCUCCUGGCACCGAAGGGACAUUGUAUGCAUUACUCAUGUCUCUACAAAAUGCCGGGUUGCUGAUGUCUGCUUGGUGGGGUGGCCUGCUGCUGCACAUGCUGAACGUGACCCGAUUGGAGUUCAGUAACCUCUGGAUCGCCGUCUUGAUUAGAAACAUAUCAAGGUUUGUCCCUUUGAUGCUACUGUUUCUUGUUCCUGACUGUGAUCAGAACUCAGCACUCCUGCCUGCAGAGAUGCUUCAUGGCAGUGAAUCAACAGAAACCAUGGAAAAAGGAUCAAAUGAGUUUUCUGUUCUUGUUGGAGACGAUUGUGGCUGCAUUUCUCCUGAUGUGACAGUUGAUAAUGAGCAAAUCAAAAUGUUUGAUGCUGAAAUUGAUGAUGUCGAAUUGAUCCCACUGGUUAACAAGAGCGGAUUGACCAUCUCAUGAUGCCUUGAAUGCCAGGAUCCUUAUGCUGAUUCUACUAGACAUUGUUCGGUUAUUCCCAUCCUAUAUAGAUUGGAUGGGAUUGGAAAAAAUUAUGAGGAGACUUUUUUACUGCGACAUGAACGGUAAAGGGAAUUGAAGAAUUUGGUAAUGAAGGCCGAUGAAUUACUGUUACAGGGGUGGUGGUACCAGUCAUGUGCUGGAGUACUUUAGUUGGCAAUUCAGUUCCUUCUGUCACUGUCGCCCUAGACGAGCGACUGACUGACCACAAAGUUUCUUGUUACAGAAAGCCCAUUACUUAUUUAAUUUCUUUCUUUUGAAAGGAGAAAAUAUCGUGAAAGUGUCUCUAGCUGAGUUGGUUAGGUGGUAAUAUAAUGACCCCAUCCGAUGCUACAAUACUGCUGGCAUUGAAGCUAAUGACCCCAAAAAUCAGGUUUGGAGUUUAAUUUUGAGGGGUACUUUUCCCGACGACACACCAUGCCAGGAUAGGACCAUUCUGCCUCUAUUUGCUCAGUAUUCAACUCCCCCCUGACAAAAUUGAGAAACUCCCUUGUUGUUCGAGAUAAAGAAAUUUCCUUCCUUUUAGGUAUUUAGCUUUCACCAGCUUAAACCAAGUUUCAUCAGAGCCUUUGACUUUUCCAUAUCCACUUAAUUAAUAGAUAUUACUCAUUUGGAAGUCUCGUGUUUAUAAUGCCAAGACCGCCUUGGUCUCUUGGUCUGUUGUCUGCUUCCCAUUUAGCCAUGUGAUAUUUGAAUUUGUCAUUAGCUCCUUGCUAAAAGAACGUAGCUAUGAUAGAAUCUAUUUGUCAUGAGUGAUCCCAGGGAACAAGUAGAAACCCAUCAUGUACAUUGGCAAGCUGCUUAAACAGGUGCUGGUGAGAAUGAGUUUAACUCCUGAGGUGAUGUACAUGCCUUUCCAACUGUCUAACCUUUUUUUGAUCAUGUUGUUACUUAUCCCCAAGAAAGAAUUUGGACUCAGAAGUUUAUCAGGGGUUGGCAUGCCAAAUAAUUAAUGGACAAAUCACCCAGCCUGUCCUCCAGUGGUACUCCAAAGACAAGGACUUCACUUGCAUGUCCUGUUGAUGAUGACAUGUCCGACUGCUUGAACCGGGGAAUGGAAUAUGGAAGCGGCAAGCGUCGGCUAGGAAGAAUCGGGAGCGCACGUUCCGUUACCCAUACGGACGCGUGUGUGGCUCCACUGCCGACGCCAACCAGCUGCUCGAUUUGCUUCUCUCGAGUGAGCUUGACCCUGUUUGAAAUUGGAUUUGCUUCUGUAGAUAUGUGAACGUGAAAAGAUCUAGAAUCCAAUGGCAGAUCAUCCCAACCUAUCUCUAAACACGGUCAUGCU
Molecule: RNA transcript, 3271 nt
Organism: Zea mays
Lineage: Eukaryota; Viridiplantae; Streptophyta; Magnoliopsida; Poales; Poaceae
Gene name: probable folate-biopterin transporter 2
Exons: 6
Source: RefSeq, a predicted model, not a curated record